This 1488-nucleotide ribosomal RNA is filed under the name uncultured Flavobacteriia bacterium. RNAcentral's name for it is "bacterial SSU rRNA". It matches the Rfam family "Bacterial small subunit ribosomal RNA". The record is from RNAcentral. Lineage: Bacteria; Pseudomonadati; Bacteroidota; Flavobacteriia.
AGAGUUUGAUCCUGGCUCAGGAUGAACGCUAGCGGCAGGCUUAACACAUGCAAGUCGAGGGGUAACGGGGAAGCUUGCUUCCGCCGACGACCGGCGCACGGGUGCGUAACGCGUAUACAAUCUACCUUGUACUGGGGUAUAGCCUUUAGAAAUGAAGAUUAACCCCCCAUAGUCUCUUAGAGUGGCAUCACUUCUAGAGUAAAGGUUACGGUAUAAGAUGAGUAUGCGUUCUAUUAGUUUGUUGGUGUGGUAACGGCACACCAAGACUACGAUAGAUAGGGGCCCUGAGAGGGGGAUCCCCCACACUGGUACUGAGACACGGACCAGACUCCUACGGGAGGCAGCAGUGAGGAAUAUUGGACAAUGGAGGCAACUCUGAUCCAGCCAUGCCGCGUGCAGGAAGACUGCCCUAUGGGUUGUAAACUGCUUUUAUACAGGAAGAAACACCUCUACGUGUAGAGGCUUGACGGUACUGUAAGAAUAAGGAUCGGCUAACUCCGUGCCAGCAGCCGCGGUAAUACGGAGGAUCCAAGCGUUAUCCGGAAUCAUUGGGUUUAAAGGGUCCGUAGGUGGAUAAUUAAGUCAGAGGUGAAAUCUUGCAGCUCAACUGUAAAAUUGCCUUUGAAACUGGUUAUCUUGAGUUAUUAUGAAGUAGUUAGAAUAUGUAGUGUAGCGGUGAAAUGCAUAGAUAUUACAUAGAAUACCAAUUGCGAAGGCAGAUUACUAAUAAUCAACUGACACUGAUGGACGAAAGCGUGGGUAGCGAACAGGAUUAGAUACCCUGGUAGUCCACGCCGUAAACGAUGGUUACUAGCUGUUUGGACUUCGGUCUGAGUGGCUAAGCGAAAGUGAUAAGUAACCCACCUGGGGAGUACGUUCGCAAGAAUGAAACUCAAAGGAAUUGACGGGGGCCCGCACAAGCGGUGGAGCAUGUGGUUUAAUUCGAUGAUACGCGAGGAACCUUACCAGGGCUUAAAUGUAAGUUGCAUUAGUUAGAGAUAGCUAUUUCUUCGGACCACUUACAAGGUGCUGCAUGGUUGUCGUCAGCUCGUGCCGUGAGGUGUCAGGUUAAGUCCUAUAACGAGCGCAACCCCUGUUGUUAGUUGCCAGCGAGUCAUGUCGGGAACUCUAGCAAGACUGCCAGUGCAAACUGUGAGGAAGGUGGGGAUGACGUCAAAUCAUCACGGCCCUUACGUCCUGGGCUACACACGUGCUACAAUGGUAGGUACAGAGAGCAGCCACUGCGCGAGCAGGAGCGAAUCUAUAAAACCUAUCACAGUUCGGAUCGGAGUCUGCAACUCGACUCCGUGAAGCUGGAAUCGCUAGUAAUCGGAUAUCAGCCAUGAUCCGGUGAAUACGUUCCCGGGCCUUGUACACACCGCCCGUCAAGCCAUGGAAGUUGGAAGUGCCUGAAGUCCGUCACCGUAAGGAGCGGCCUAGGGUAAAGUCGAUAACUAGGGCUAAGUCGUAACAAGGUAAAUCACUAGU